GACGAACGCUGGCGGUGUGCUUCACACAUGCAAGUCGAACGAGGUAGCAAUACCUAGUGGCGGACGGGUGAGUAACGCGUGGGAAUCUGCCUUUAGAUGGGGGAUAACGGGUCGAAAGACUCGCUAAUACCGCAUAUGACGAAAGUUGAAAGGAGUAAUCCGUCUAAAGAUGAGCCCGCGUCCGAUUAGCUAGUUGGUAGAGUAAAAGCCUACCAAGGCGACGAUCGGUAGCUGGUCUGAGAGGAUGAUCAGCCACAAUGGGACUGAGACACGGCCCAUACUCCUACGGAGGCAGCAGUGGGAAUUUACGCAAUGGGCGAAGGCCUGACGUAGCGACACCGCGUGAGCGAAGAAGCCCCUUGGGUGUAAAGCUCUGUCAGCUGGAACGAAAAAAAUGACGGUACCAGCAGAGGAAGCAUCGGCUAACUACGUGCCAGCAGCCGCGGUAAU
This 450-nucleotide ribosomal RNA is filed under the name uncultured bacterium. RNAcentral describes it as "bacterial SSU rRNA". It matches the Rfam family "Bacterial small subunit ribosomal RNA", at positions 28 to 524 of the family's 1533-position model. The record is from RNAcentral.